GUGUCAGCCGCCGCGGUAAUACGUAGGGGGCAAGCGUUGUCCGGAAUCAUUGGGCGUAAAGAGCGUGUAGGCGGCCCGAUAAGUCCGCUGUGAAAGUCGAGGGCUCAACCCUCGAAUGCCGGCGGAUACUGUCGGGCUAGAGUCCGGAAGAGGCGAGUGGAAUUCCUGGUGUAGCGGUGAAAUGCGCAGAUAUCAGGAGGAACACCUACGGCGAAGGCAGCUCGCUGGGACGGUACUGACGCUGAGACGCGAAAGCGUGGGGAGCAAACAGGAUUAGAAACCCGUGUAGUCC
Molecule: ribosomal RNA, 292 nt
Filed under: uncultured bacterium
Lineage: Bacteria
Description: partial 16S ribosomal RNA
Rfam family: Bacterial small subunit ribosomal RNA
Source: RNAcentral